This 677-nucleotide long non-coding RNA is filed under the name Capsicum annuum. RNAcentral's name for it is "long non-coding RNA (CANN_LNC017581)". The record is from RNAcentral. Lineage: Eukaryota; Viridiplantae; Streptophyta; Magnoliopsida; Solanales; Solanaceae.
UUUUUGUCAGAACGUUUAGUUCUGAAAUUAAAACCAUGGGUUAACGUAUAUUUUGUCAUUACUGAUACAAGUGUUGACUUAUCCUUAUACAACUAUUUCACUUUCAUAUCAAUACUCUUGCUAUCACAUAUUAAGUUUUUAAUCUCAAACUCUUGCACUACAAUGAACGUUGGUUUUCUGACUCAAUAAUAGAAAGAGCGAGCGCAUCCAUUUUCAUCCCUUCCAAAAAAUCCACCGAUCUAGUUUCUACAUCGAACUCUAAUCCUUUGCACAUUUAUCCGUUGUGGUUAUGCACAACAAUUACAUUAUGAAGCCAGGAAGAGUUUUCUUUAACUCAACAUAUAUCGUAACACCAUUAUCAUUCCUAAUAACAAUAGGAGAGUCAUUGCCAACGACAACAUAAUGGACUAAUUGUUUUUCGUGACUCUUCAGUGACCGAUUCAGCAGCAAUUGAGGAAAUCAACUUCAAAUAAGUUAUUGUUUCUGCAAUAAUAAUUCCUUCACUUUUGUAUCCUACAUAUUGUAUGUUAGAUUUCCAUUCACCAGAGUGCCUUAACAGAAUUGGGAUAUUCAUCUUCUUGAUGUUCUUUUCUAAAAAAUAUAAUAAUAAAUUUUGCAUUUGGAAGAAAUCUGACAAUUACAGCCUGAUCGUUGCGAAGUAUGUGUUCUUUUGAUCU